GGGCUCCUGGCGCAACGGUAGCGCGCCUGCAUGGCAUGCAGGAGGUUGCGGGUUCGAAUCCCGCGGAGUCCA
RNAcentral lists this transfer RNA (72 nucleotides) under Microcaldota archaeon. Its description in RNAcentral is "tRNA-Ala". It matches the Rfam family "tRNA". Rfam says of the family: Transfer RNA (tRNA) molecules are approximately 80 nucleotides in length. Lineage: Archaea; Nanobdellati; Microcaldota. RNAcentral also lists the same sequence under 2 other names. The record is from RNAcentral.